GAGUUUGAUCCUGGCUCAGGAUGAACGCUAGCGGCAGGCCUAACACAUGCAAGUCGAGGGGUAACAUGAAUUGCUUGCAAUUUGAUGACGACCGGCGCACGGGUGCGCACCGCGUAUGGAACCUACCUUUUACAGGGGGAUAGCCCAGGGAAACUUGGAUUAAUACCCCGUAGUACCUUUUGUAGCAUUACAAGAUGGUUAAAGACUUCGGUCGGUAGAAGAUGGCCAUGCGUCCCAUUAGUUAGUUGGUAAGGUAACGGCUUACCAAGACAGCGAUGGGCAGGGGCCCUGAGAGGGGGAUCCCCCACACUGGUACUGAGACACGGACCAGACUCCUACGGGAGGCAGCAGUGAGGAAUAUUGGACAAUGGAGGAGACUCUGAUCCAGCCAUGCCGCGUGCAGGAAGAAUGCCCUAUGGGUAGUAAACUGCUUUUAUACGGGUAGAAAAAGGGGUACGUGUACCCCACUGACGGUACCGUAAGAAUAAGGACCGGCUAACUCCGUGCCAGCAGCCGCGGUAAUACGGAGGGUCCGAGCGUUAUCCGGAAUUAUUGGGUUUAAAGGGUCCGUAGGCGGGCGAUUAAGUCAGUGGUGAAAGUCUGCAGCUCAACUGUAGAACUGCCUUUGAUACUGAUCGUCUUGAGUUAUAGUGAAGUUGCCGGAAUAUGUAGUGUAGCGGUGAAAUGCAUAGAUAUUACAUAGAACACCGAUUGCGAAGGCAGGUGACUAACUAUAUACCGACGCUGAUGGACGAAAGCGUGGGGAGCGAAACAGGAUU
Molecule: ribosomal RNA, 779 nt
Filed under: uncultured bacterium
Lineage: Bacteria
Description: bacterial SSU rRNA
Rfam family: Bacterial small subunit ribosomal RNA
Source: RNAcentral